AAUAAUGAAAACAGACGUAAUUUUUGACUAAUUUUGAUGAACAAGGUCUCACUUUAAAGACGAAGGUUUAAUCUAGGACCCCGCUUUAUUGAAUUUUUGAAGAAGUUUCUUAUUUGUGCAUAAACUAUUUUCGAAAAAAUACCAUUUUUAACACGGUUUUUUUCAAAGAAAAUAAACCUUUUUUAAAAAUUCGGAAAAAAUAUCUACUAGAUUAAAUCUUCAUCUUUAAUAUGAGAUCUUGUUCAUUAAAAUUGGUCUAAAAUUACGCUUGUUCUCAUUGAUGGCCUAAACUAUUAUAAAACCAUUAUAUAGGGAUAGUGAACAACCUUAAACUUUCAUUUUUCUGAUUAUUCGCCAAUAAUACGUAAAGAAUGCGGUAAACAAAAUAAGUUAAUGAAAACGGGAAAAGAUAAAGGAGUUAUCCAAAUGGGUGUCACAAAACCAUUAUGGCCCAGCAUAGGCAACCACAACAAAACGAAUUUUUACCAUUAUGUGAUGUUCUGUUUAAUAUAAUUUCCCUUGCAUCAUAUUUUUGUGACAUUGUUUUCGAUUUUGCAAUGGUUUAUGCACUUGCUCAUCAUUCGGUAGGACAACCUACUGUUUUUCCCUUAAGCAUUACUUUUAUAACGACGUCUUUGCUUGCCUGCCAGAUAGUUAGCAUACGUUGGUAUUUAUGGGGUGCAAGAGGUAAAUUAAUAGACAAUGAUGAUACAAACAGGGAUUGUAAUGUAAACCCGUGUAAAAAGACUGGUAAUUGGACUUUGGGUUGUGUAUUAUUACUUCAUACAACACAAGCUGGAGUACUCUGGAGAUAUUUUAAGUUGUUUAUUCCAGUUGAUUUAGCUUAUGUUAAACAUGAGGUGCGAGAGUUGUGUGUAUUACGUCUUAUACAUGCAUUCUGCGAAGCUGCACCCAUGUUACUAUUACAACUAUAUUUAUUAUCUAUUGGAAUUAAUGACAAUUUAAGUAUAGAAAAUGAAAAAAUAAAAAGUGGUGAAGUGAAGGACAGUGAAAAGUUAACAAAAUUAACAGCAGUGUCAGCUGGACUAUCCUUAUGGAGUGUUUGUUGGGCAGUAGCUAGUUUUAGUAAAGGUGCAGCACGCCUUCGUAAUCUAGAACGUUUGGUACUUACAUGGUUAGGUGUAUUAGCUCAAUUAUUUUGGCGUCUUGGAACUGUAAGUGCACGAGUUGGAGCAUUAGUUGUAUAUGCAUCACUUUAUGGUGGACAGUGGCUAUUAAUUGUGAUGGCACUUCAUUGGCUUUCUAUGUUAACGUGGUUAUUGCUCACACCUGAUGGACUCUUCCAUGUAGGUGAGCGUCUUCCACUUAUGAGAAAAAGUAUUUUGGCCUCUAUGUUGGCAUUUGUUUAUAUAUUUGCAUAUGUAAAUCUACAUGAGACCAAUCAUCGCCAAAAAAUGGUAAUAUUUUAUACCGUAAUGUUAUUGGAAAAUAGUUUACUUACUGGAGUAUGGGCUGUAGGUAUAAAUAGAAGUGAUCUUCAUCUUCAUCAACCAAAUCCAGUAAACUUAGUACUUACACUUGUAGCAUUAUUUUUUUGUGGUAUGUUCUUUAUGGCAUUGUAUUAUAGAUUCUUUCAUAUAAGAAGAUUAACAUAUGAAGUUGGUGGUAGAAUGACUACUUCAAAUCUUGCAAUUAUGUCUAACCAGGACAAUUCAGAAGAAAGGAAUAUAGAUUAUGUAAAGGAAAAAAAAAUUGAUAAAGAUGUAGCAACAAGAAAAGUAAAAUUAAAUAAUAGUGGUAUACCUGGUGUAUUUAAUUGUCGUUUUGCUAAUGCAGCAGUAGUAAAUCCAAAUCGUAAAAAGAAAAAGCCUACUACAUUUGUACCUCCACCACCUCCGCAAGAUCAGUCUACAUCUACUGUAACUCCUAUUACCGCAGGUGAAGAUACUAAACAGUGGAUUAAUGGAAACAAUGGACACCAACAGAUAAUACCGUUUUGGAAAAAAGCUGCAUCGUUUUCCAAUGUGUUGCAGAGUGAUGAUUCAAAUAUACAAAAAAAUACAACCGAAGCAGAGACAAGUACUUCUUCGAGCGUAAAUUUAAUACGAGAGAAAUUAAGGCAAAAAAAACAGCAACAACUUCGCGAGCUUAAAGCUAUACAAGAAGAGAUAAAAGAAGGAAAAUUAUUUCCUCCUCUAUCAGCAUCUCCAUCUACGUUUUCAUCUUCUCCAUCAGUAUUAAAUCAACAACCACCACCAAGCAAGAAGUUGCAUACUUCUCCAAACACUAUAUUAUUUACAUCACCCUCAUUAGUGUCUGAUGGAGAUGAAGGUGUCACAUUAACAUCGUGGCCACCAGUUAAAAUGCAUUGUUUAUUACCACCACCACCAGUAUCACCGUACCAUUCUAAUUCCCAUUCCUCGAGUUUAUGGAAAGUAUCGCAAAGAGAGAAAACAAAUGUACCAGAAAUUUUAUUAGCACCUAGAUGUCUUCCCAUACAUUGUGCUCAUUGGACACCUCCUGGUCAUCUUAGUCAUAGCCGGAAUGGAAAAGGAGAAAGUUCCAAAGAUGAAAGUGAAGAAGGUGAAAUCAGCGAUAUGGAAGGUAGUCAAGUAUCAUUGCCUAGAAGUUAUACACUUCCUCGAGAAUUUAAAUAUUAUCACUCUACUAAUAUGCUUAGAGAUAAAGAUCGAUGCGGUGGUACUAGUAAAGUACAACCAUCUAGAUUUUAUUUACCUUCUACUUACAGUUCUGAUGGAGAUGUAGAUAGUGCAGAUAAUGAGGAGGAAACAGAUUCUGAAUUACAAGUUGUUAUGAAGGAAGGUCACAAUUGUAGUUCCGACAGAACUCAGCAACGAAAAUAUGCACUAAAAAAUAAUGAAGGAACAGAUUUAUCUAGUAAUAAUUGUGAUGCUUCUACUGAUAUUGCAAUAUCUAAUAAUUCUCAUCAUAAUAAUUUAUAUGGAUUCAGAGUCAUCUGAUUUUGAUGAGAACGACGUGUACAGAGAAGAAAAAAAGAAAGAAAUAGAUUUAGAAUAUGCAUGUCGAACAGGAGAUAUUGAUAUAAUUGAAGAAUAUCUUAAUGAAUUUUCCACUUUUUACUUUUUUUAAUUUUAUGUUAAUGAAUCAUUUUAUCUGUUUAAAUAUAUUUAGAUCAUGAUAUCAAUACUAUUUUAAAAGAAGGUUGCACUCUACUUUUAAUUGCUGCAUCAUAUUAUAAAGAAGAACUUAUUGAAUACCUUUUGGAACGUGGAGCUGAUGCUACUAUACAUAAUUAUGGUUUUUUCUUUUUUUAAAUAAUUUUUUAAUUAAAUGAAU
RNA transcript from Vespa crabro (European hornet), 3279 nucleotides. RefSeq lists it as uncharacterized. NCBI's taxonomy places the organism in Eukaryota, Metazoa, Arthropoda, Insecta, Hymenoptera, Vespidae. The transcript has 12 exons. The record is from RefSeq and is a predicted model, not a curated record.